GAUCCUGGCUCAGGACGAACGCUGGCGGCGCGCCUAACACAUGCAAGUCGAACGAGCGAGAGAGAGCUUGCUUUCUUGAGCGAGUGGCGAACGGGUGAGUAACGCGUGAGGAACCUGCCUCAAAGAGGGGGACAACAGUUGGAACGACUGCUAAUACCGCAUAAGCCCACGACCCGGCAUCGGGUAGAGGGAAAGGAGCAAUCCGCUUUGAGAUGGCCUCGCGUCCGAUUAGCUAGUUGGUAGG
RNAcentral lists this ribosomal RNA (244 nucleotides) under uncultured bacterium. Its description in RNAcentral is "partial 16S ribosomal RNA". It matches the Rfam family "Bacterial small subunit ribosomal RNA", at positions 15 to 256 of the family's 1533-position model. The record is from RNAcentral.